Manis javanica (Malayan pangolin) is the source of this 1391-nucleotide non-coding RNA. The record is from RefSeq and is a predicted model, not a curated record. Lineage: Eukaryota; Metazoa; Chordata; Mammalia; Pholidota; Manidae.
GUCAGAUCCAGAAGGAGUUUAGUAAGCUGUUCCAGGGGUUCAGGACCACCCCAUCCUGUGUAUGGGAAGUAUUCUUGAAAUUAUUAGGAAAACUGGAUAUGGACAAGACUUGUGAUAUUGAUACAAGGAUAUGUCAGCAAUUUGCAGUCCAGGAGAGAGCUCACCAGAACUUGACCAUGCUGUCGUCCUGAUCUCGGCAUCCAGGCUCCAGAAAUGGAAACAAGGAACUUUAUUGUAAGAUAGGCAACUCAAAAAAUGUCCGAGAAGAAUAGGUGGGAAGAUGAGACUUGGAAGCCUGGGGAGAACCCUUACAGGCAAUGGGAAAGUUUAAAAGGCCCUGGAUGAAAAGCAUGCCUGGAAGAUUCAAGGAAGAACAAGGAGGCCAAUGUGUUUGGAACACAGUGACCAAGAUGGGCGCGCCGCGGAACCAUGAUGGAAGGAUAAACAGGGCCUGUGGAGCACUGUGAGGGCUUCUGACUUGUACUCAACCCCAGUGAAGCAGAAUUCCUUUACAGACGCAGAAGCUGUGGCUGCUCUGUUUGAAAGGAAACACUACAGGUCACUGAGACAGUAAUAGAAGUGGAAGCUUCUGUCAGGACCUCUACCACAACUGCUUAUGAAAGUGCAAUUCCUUGGCCAUGCUUACCAGAAGCAAUUCCAUGUCAUGUCUUUUUUCACUCUGUUCUUUUCCAAACAGAGGUCUCUAAUGGCUGUGUCUGGCUGUCAGAGUUUAGGUCACAAACCUUUAAAAGGGUAGGUGAAAUCUUCUGGCUUCUCCCUGAAGUAGGUAUGACAAUGCAAAAAUUCCCAAACACAGGAAGGGUGUUCAAAGCAUGUAAAAAUUUGUAAAUGUACAAACCAUCUACAAAUGUCCAGUAGAGACUGAAGGAUGUGUGAAGGUUGAGAAAGGAGGAAAAUGUGAAGUUAACCCUGAGUGUUCAAGUCCAAGAAACAAAGGGUUUAGUGGUAACUUUAACAAAAAUGCCAGAGGAAGAGUAAAUUUGUAGGCAAGAAAGUGAAUUUUGUUUAAAACAAGGGAAAUUUAAGUUAGGACACAUCAUGUGGAAUUAUUCACUAAGAAAUGGAAAUGAAUGUGAACAGAGGGAUAAAACUGAGAACUAAGGCUAUUGAUGAUGCUAAAAGUUUUGAGGCCAAAUUCAUGGAUUGCCCAUAGGCAUGAAGCAUUUAUAUAUUCUUUUUUGAUAAGCAGUGAACAUUUAACCAGAAUUGGAAAUGAGUGAUAACUGCAUUUUGUUGUUUACAGGGGAUAGGAGUAGCAAGGUAAGACUGUUUUGAAUAUGGUACAGGAGAAAAGAGAAAUGUUUGAUAUAGACAUAGAAAAAUUGGGAGUAAGAGUGAUAGAGUAUGAUAGAGAAUUUAAACAUGAUAAA